GGCAAGCCUGAUGCAGCCAUGCCGCGUGUAUGAAGAAGGCCUUCGGUUGUAGCAUUUAGCGAGGAGGAAGGCGUUGUGGUUAAUAACUGCAGAAGCGAUUGACGUUACUCGCAGAAGAAGUACCGGCUAACUCCGUGCCAGCAGCCGCGGUAAUACGGAGGGUGCAAGCGGCAAUCGGAAUUACUGGGCGUAAAGCGCACGCAGGCGGUCUGUCAAGUCGGAUGUGAAAUCCCUGGCUCAACCUGGGAACUGCAUCCGGAACUGUCAAGCUAGAGUGCAGGAGAGGAAGGUAGAAUUCCCGGUGUAGCGGUGAAAUGCGUAGAGAUCGGGAGGAAUACCAGUGGCGAAGGCGGCCUUCUGGACUGACACCGAUACUGAGGUGCGAAAGCGUGGGUAGUAAACAGGAUUAGAUACCCCCUGGUAGUCCCGAGGAGGUCCUGACCGGUAAAGUGAGAGUUCGAUUAUGGCCUGUGGGAUUGAACGUUGGCGGGAUGCUUACACAUGCAAGUCGAACGGCAGCACGGACUUCGGCUAGUCUGGUGGCGAGUGGCGAACGGGUGAGUAAUGUAUCGGAACGUGCCUAGUAGCGGGGAUAACUACGCGAAAAAGGUGAAGCAUUACCGCAUACUACGCUCCUUCGGGAAAGCGGGGGACCUUCGGGCCUCGCACUAUUAGAGCGGCUGAUAUCGGAUUAGCUAGUUGGUGGGGUAACGGCUCACCAAGGCGACGAUCCGUAGCUGGUUUGAGAGGACGACCAGCCACACUGGGACUGAGACACGGCCCAGACUCCUACGGGAGGCAGCAGUGGGGAAUUUUGGACAAAUGGGGAAACCCUGAUCCAGCCAUCCUGCGCGUGCGAUGAAGGCCUUUCGGUUGUAAAGCACUUUGGCAGGAAGGAAACGGCACGGGAUAAUACCUCGUGCAACUGACGGUACCUGCAGAAUAAGCACCGGCUAACUACGUGCCAGCAGCCGCGGUAAUACGUAGGGUGCAAGCGUUAAUCGGAAUUAUUGCUAAAGCGUGCGCAGGCGGUUCGGAAAGAAAGAUGUGAAAUCCCAGAGCUUAACGUUGGAACUGCAUUUUUAACUACCGAGCUAGAGUGUGUCAGAGGGAGGUGGAAUUCCGCGUGUAGCAGUGAAAUGCGUAGAUAUGCGGAGAACACCGAUGGCGAAGGCAGCCUCCUGGGAUAACACUGACGCUCAUGCACGAAAGCGUGGGGAGCAAACAGGAUUAGAUACCUCCUGGUAGUCCACGCCCUAAACGAUGUCAACUAGCUGUUGGGGCCUUCGGGCUUUCGGUAGCGCAGCUAACGCGCGUGAAGUUGACCGCCUGGGGAGUACGGUCGCAAGAUUAAAACUCAAAGGAAUUGACGGGGACCCGCACAAGCGGUGGAUGAUGUGGAUUAAUUCGAUGCAACGCGAAAAACCUUACCUACCCUUGACAUGUCUGGAAUCCCGAAGAGAUUUGGGAGUGCUCGCAAGAGAACCGGAACACAGGUGUUGCAUGGCUGUCGUCAGCUCGAGGUGUCGUGAGAUGUUGGGUUAGUCUCGCAACGAGCAAGUAACCCUUGUCAUUAGUUGCUACGAAAGGGCACUCUAAUGAGACUGCCGGUGACAAACCCGGAGGAAGGUGGGGAUGACGUCAAGUCCUCAUGGCCCUUAUGGGUAGGGCUUCACACGUCAUACAAUGGUCGGGACAGAGGGUCGCCAACCCGCGAGGGGAGCCAAUCCCAGAAACCUGAUCGUCCGGAUCGCAGUCUGCAACUCGACUGCGUGAAGUCGGAAUCGCUAGUAAUCGCGGAUCAGCAUGUCGCGGUGAAUACGUUCCCGGGUCUUGUACACACCGCCCGUCACACCAUGGGAGUGGGUUUUACCAGAAGUAGUUAGCCCAACCGUAAGGAGGGCGAUUACCACGGUAGGAUUCAUGACUGGGGUGAAGUCGUAACAAAGGUAA
Molecule: unclassified non-coding RNA, 1953 nt
Filed under: uncultured Bordetella sp.
Lineage: Bacteria; Pseudomonadati; Pseudomonadota; Betaproteobacteria; Burkholderiales; Alcaligenaceae
Description: partial 16S-23S ribosomal RNA intergenic spacer
Rfam family: Bacterial small subunit ribosomal RNA (bases 446-1953)
Source: RNAcentral